Long non-coding RNA from Dreissena polymorpha, 2677 nucleotides. RefSeq lists it as uncharacterized. NCBI's taxonomy places the organism in Eukaryota, Metazoa, Mollusca, Bivalvia, Myida, Dreissenidae. The transcript has 2 exons. The record is from RefSeq and is a predicted model, not a curated record.
GAUUAUUUAUAGCCACACACACAUUUUCAACACAUGUUGAUACCGAUUUCACACCCCCUGUACGUCGAUAAUCCAAACUGAGUUGUAUAAUUCAAACUGAAGAAAAAAAUGUCGGCCGAAACUGAAACUGAAAGAAUAACAUCAGACAUGCAAGCUGGAAGAUAAAAAGCCAGACAGGGUCAAUGUGCAGAAGAUGUCAAGGAAUACUUUACAUUCUUGAGAAGAAGUUUCAUAACCUAUUGUAUACCGAUCCAACAGGGAACACUAAGCCUCUCUGCCUAAUGAUUGUGCUAUAAGAGGAAGAAUAAGAAUGCUGUGCAUAAGGAACUAUUCCAGUCUAUCCCACUUGCAGAUGUAGCAAAGCAAACAAUAUGUGACUAAUAAAUUAUAUGAUAUAACACCUAAUUGUUGCACCAAUUUCAAAUCAUGAGCAGUCUAUGAUAAUGUGAUGCAAUAAUUGUAGAUUUAAGAUUUAACUGCCUCAAGACCUCACUCAUGUUUAUGGAAUAUGUUUGAAUGUAUAAGACAUUUUACAUAUACUCAUUUUAUUAUGCAUUUUGUUAUCCCAACGCUUUUUGAAAAGCGUGUGGAUAUUGUGGUUAUCUCCGCCGUCUGUCCGUCUGUCCGUCCGUCCGUCCUAGCCACUAUUAUCUCCUACACUUUUAGCACUAGAACCUUGAAACUUACACCCAUGGUAGCUAUGAGCAUAUGUGCGACGGUGCACUAUCCGGAAUUUUGAUCUGACCUCUGUGUCAAAAGUUACGGGGGUUGGGGUGGGGCCGGGUCAGAGAUUUUCCUGCGACUGCGAUUCGAAAAAGGCUCAUAACUACUGUGUCCCUUCAGAUAUUGCUUUCAUAUUUGGUAUGCAUGUGUAUCUGGACAAGACCUUUCCAUGCGCAUAAAAUUGUUCACCCCUGUGACCUUGACCUUGAACUUUCGGUCAGCUUUCAGGUUUCGAAAUCUGCGACCGCGAUUCGAAAAAGGCUCAUAUCUACUGUGUCCCUUCUGAUAUUGCUUUCAUAUUUGGUAUGCAUGUAAAUCUGGACAACACUCUAUGAGCAUACAAAUUUUUACCUCUCUGACCUUGACCUUGAACUUGGGGCCAGUUUUCAGGUUUUGAAAUCUGCGACCGCGAUUCGAAAAAGGCUCAUAACUUCUGUGUCCUUUCAGAUAUUGCUUUCAUAUUUGGUAUGCAUGUGUAUCUGGACAACACCUUUCCAUGCGCAUAAAAUGUUUGACCCCUGUGACAUUGACCUUGAACUUGAGGUCAGCGUUCAGGUUUCGAAAUCUGCGACUGCGAUUCAAAAAAGGUUCAUACCUGCUGUGUCCCUUCAGAUAUUGCUUUCAUAUUUGGUACGCAUGUGUAUCUGGACAAGACCUUUCCAUGCGCAUGAAAUUUUUUACCACUGUGACAUUGAAUUUGAAACUUUGGGUCCGCGUUUAGAUUUCGAAAUCUAUUAUGUGGUUAUCUACCCAAUCAGAAGAAGUGCACGCAUUUUCAUCGGACAAAGGAAUUUUUCAACAAUGAAGCUUGUGUAUUGAAAACAUAUAGUUACACAGUAUUGGCGCAGAGAUGUAUUUAGUAGUCAAUUGUUUGUGUUAACUCAUCUGUGAAAUGGUUUAGCUCAUCCAUCUAAUGUUUAUACAAGGGAGUAUAAGAUAUUGGCGAAAAGGGACACCUGUAUAUGAGAGAAGAGAUAGAAUGCAGUCAAGCAUAAAAAGCAUGAGAAACUCAUGGAAUAGAGCCUCAAGAAUCUAUAAAAGGGCUGAAACUUUCAAUCUGUUCAAGUACACUAUUAGACUCAUUACUGAAAAUCUGUCAAAAUGUUUAAGUGGGAAAAAUGUGAGAAACAAUUUAAAGCAAGAUGGACUUUGAACAGGCACAUCAAAGACAGACAUGAAAUUCAACAUUUUCAUUGUUGUGUACAAGAUUGCGAUAGAAACUUUCUGAGACGCUAAUAUUUAGUCAACGAUUUGACCUCAAAACAUAACUUUUCCAAAACAGAAGCAAGAAGAUUGGCUAUAAGAUAGCAUGUUCAGCCAUCUCAUAAGUCAUUCCAAUGAGGAUGACAUGUACAUAAUGGACGUAAGUGAAGUUGAUUCAGUAUUAGAUUUGUUAAGAGAGCAGGAUGAGGAGGAGAAAUUAGGGUAUAGAUUUUCACUCAUUUUUUAGGUUAUUUUACAUUAACUUCUUCAUUUCUACACCGAAUUACUUCAAAUUUAUACUGAACAUCUCUUAUGACAAUACGGUCAAUCUCAACUAUGCAUGGCCCCAUUAUCAACCCUGGGGCGCCCCUGGGUCAAACAUGCGGCGUGGGGAUACGCGUCGGCCUCUGCCGCGCCAUUUCUAGUUUAAUUUUAAAUCCAUUCUAACAUUAUAUGUCAACUUAAAACAACUGUAUGCAUUUAUUACAAUUUUUACAAUGGUAACCAUGGUGACCACAAGGUUGUGAUCAUUGCCAUGCAACUAACACUUAAAAAUUGAUGAUUCCUGAAUGUAUUGUCGUUUAAUAGGUUUUAAGAUAGCCAUGUGUAAAUUAAUUGUACAAUUAAAUGAACAUUGAACAAAUCUGAGAACAUUAUGUUUGUCUAUGUAUGUUCUUAAUUAAAUAGGAUCUGUUUUAAUUCUUUUAAGAUGUAUAUAAUACUUGAAUUACAAUUAAAUCUGAAUUGCUAA